Otolemur garnettii (small-eared galago) is the source of this 120-nucleotide small nucleolar RNA. Its record names the gene SNORA70. It matches the Rfam family "Small nucleolar RNA SNORA70". Rfam says of the family: snoRNA U70 seems to be exclusive to mammals and is a member of the H/ACA class of snoRNA which contain H (ANANNA) and ACA box motifs. NCBI's taxonomy places the organism in Eukaryota, Metazoa, Chordata, Mammalia, Primates, Galagidae. The record is from Ensembl.
CUGCAACCAAUUAAGCCGAUUGAGUUCCUUUCCUCAUGGGGACCUAGUACAGCAAGCUCCUUGGGAGUAUAAGCAGCCUGAUGCUUGUAUGGAUUGCUGUCAGGGACCGUGGAAACAAUC